UGUUGUUGCAGAAAGUGUUAUUAAAGAGGGAGGUCGGUCUAUUCCUGUGAACAGUUGUCCUCGUUUCUUCCGUCACAGCACCAGGUGCCACUCUUGCUCUGGUACCCCCAAAAUGGCUCAUCGAAGUGGGCAGGAGGACCCGGAGCGGUACCUGUUUGUGGACCGCGCUGUCGUCUACAACCCGGCCACACAGGCUGACUGGACAGCCAAGAAGGUGGUGUGGAUCCCUUCAGAGCGUCAUGGCUUUGAGGCGGCCAGCAUCAAGGAGGAGCGGGGAGAGGAGGUGGUGGUGGAACUGUCAGAGAAUGGCAAGAAGGCCAUUGUCAAUAAGGACGACAUCCAGAAGAUGAACCCGCCCAAGUUCAGCAAGGUGGAAGACAUGGCCGAGCUCACCUGCCUGAACGAGGCCUCGGUGCUGCACAACCUCAAGGACCGCUACUACUCUGGACUCAUCUACACUUACUCUGGGCUGUUCUGUGUGGUGAUAAACCCCUACAAAAACUUGCCCAUCUACUCCGAGAACAUCAUAGAGAUGUACAGAGGGAAGAAGCGUCAUGAGAUGCCACCACACAUCUACGCCAUUUCAGAGUCAGCAUACCGCUGCAUGCUCCAAGAUCGUGAAGACCAAUCAAUCCUUUGCACAGGCGAGUCGGGUGCCGGCAAGACAGAAAACACCAAAAAGGUCAUCCAGUACCUGGCCCACGUCGCCUCGUCACACAAAGGACGCAAAGACCACAACAUUCCUCCAGAAUCCCCUAAAGCGUUGAACAAGCUCCAGGGUGAGCUGGAACGGCAGCUUCUGCAAGCCAACCCCAUCCUUGAAUCCUUUGGCAAUGCCAAGACGGUGAAAAAUGACAACUCGUCACGUUUCGGCAAGUUCAUCAGAGUCAACUUUGACGUGACCGGCUACAUUGUUGGGGCCAAUAUCGAGACCUACCUCCUGGAGAAGUCCAGGGCCGUUCGCCAGGCCAAAGACGAGAGGACCUUCCAUGUCUUCUACCAGCUUCUGGCAGGAGCCGGGGAGCACCUCAAAACCGACCUGCUCCUGGAGGGCUUCAACAACUACCGCUUCCUGUCCAAUGGCAACAUUACCAUCCCUGGCCAGCAGGACAAGGACAACUUCCAGGAGACCAUGGAUGCCAUGCACAUCAUGAGCUUCUCCCAUGAGGAGAUUGUAUGCAUGCUGAAGGUGGUGUCUGCAGUACUACAGUUUGGUAACGUUGUCUUCAAGAAGGAGAGGAACACAGACCAGGCCUCCAUGCCCGAGAACACAGUGGCUCAGAAGCUGUGCCACCUGCUGGGGCUGAAUGUGAUGGAGUUUACCAGGGCCAUUCUGUCCCCCCGCAUCAAAGUGGGCCGAGACUACGUCCAGAAGGCCCAGACCAAAGAACAGGCUGACUUUGCAGUGGAAGCCCUGGCCAAGGCCACAUAUGAGCGUCUGUUCCGCUGGCUCGUCCACCGUAUCAACAAGGCCCUGGACAGGACCAAGAGACAGGGAGCCUCCUUCAUCGGCAUCCUGGACAUCGCUGGCUUUGAGAUCUUUGAGCUGAACUCAUUUGAGCAGAUGUGCAUCAACUACACCAACGAGAAGCUGCAGCAGCUGUUCAACCACACCAUGUUCAUCCUGGAGCAGGAGGAGUACCAGAGGGAGGGCAUCGAGUGGAGCUUCAUCGACUUCGGCCUGGACCUGCAGCCCUGCAUCGACCUGAUUGAGAGACCGACCAACCCUCCAGGAGUUCUGGCCCUGUUGGAUGAGGAAUGCUGGUUCCCCAAGGCCACUGAUAAGACAUUUGUAGACAAGGUGCUCCAGGAGCAGGGCACCCACCCCAAGUUCCAGAAACCCCGGCAGCUGAAGGACAAAGCCGACUUCUGCAUCAUUCACUACGCUGGCAGGGUGGACUACAAGGCUGACGAGUGGUUGAUGAAGAACAUGGACCCUCUGAACGACAACGUGGCCACGCUGCUCAACCAGUCCACUGACAAGUUUGUGUCUGAACUGUGGAAGGACGUGGACCGUAUCGUGGGUCUGGACCAGGUAGCAGGGAUGAACGAGACGGCCUUCGGCGCAGCCUAUAAGACCAAGAAGGGCAUGUUCCGUACGGUGGGCCAGCUCUACAAGGAGUCUCUCACCAAGCUCAUGGCCACACUGAGGAACACCAACCCCAAUUUUGUCCGCUGCAUCAUCCCCAACCACGAGAAGAGGGCUGGUAAGCUAGACCCCCACCUGGUUCUGGACCAGCUGAGGUGUAAUGGUGUUCUGGAGGGGAUCCGUAUCUGCAGACAGGGCUUCCCCAACCGUAUCGUCUUCCAGGAGUUCAGACAGAGGUAUGAGAUCCUCACCCCCAACGCCAUCCCCAAGGGCUUCAUGGAUGGCAAGCAAGCCUGUGAGAGAAUGAUCCGAGCCUUGGAGUUGGAUCCUAACCUGUUCAGGAUUGGUCAGAGUAAGAUCUUCUUCAGGGCUGGAGUCUUGGCUCACCUGGAGGAGGAGCGAGACCUGAAGAUCACGGACAUCAUCAUCUACUUCCAGUCUGUCUGCCGGGGAUACCUGGCCCGCAAGGCGUUUGUUAAGAAGCAGCAGCAACUGAAUUGUCUGAAGGUGCUUCAGAGGAACUGUUCUGCCUACCUGAAGCUGAAGCACUGGCAGUGGUGGAGACUCUUUACCAAGGUGAAGCCCCUGCUGCAGGUGACCAGGCAGGAGGAGGAGAUGCAGGCCAAGGACGAUGAGCUUGUCAAGGUGAAGGAGAAGCAGACCAAAGUGGAGGGAGAACUGGUGGAGAUGGAGAGAAAGCACUCACAGCUGAUUGAGGAGAAGAACAUCCUAGCGGAGCAGCUGCAGGCUGAGACGGAGCUGUUUGCCGAGGCUGAGGAGAUGAGAGCCCGUCUGGCCGCUAAGAAGCAGGAGCUGGAGGAGAUCCUUCAUGACCUGGAGGCCAGAGUGGAGGAGGAGGAGGAGAGGACCCAGGGCCUGCAAAGUGAGAAGAAGAAGAUGCAGUCUCACAUCCAGGACCUGGAGGAGCAGUUGGAUGAGGAGGAGGCUGCCAGGCAGAAGCUGCAGCUGGAGAAGGUGACAGCCGAGGCCAAGAUGAAGAAAUUUGAAGAGGACAUCUUGCUCCUGGAGGACCAGAACUCCAAGUUCCUGAAGGAGAAGAAGCUCCUGGAUGACCGUGUCAAUGAGAUGAUGUCCCAGCUGACUGAGGAGGAGGAGAAGGCCAAGAACCUGGGCAAGACAAAGAACAAGCAGGAGGUGAUGAUGGUGGACCUGGAAGAGCGUUUGAAGAAGGAGGAGAAGACUCGCCAGGAGCUGGAGAAGGCCAAGAGGAAGCUGGAUGGAGAGACCACAGACCUACAGGACCAGAUAGCUGAGCUGCAGGCCCAGAUAGAGGAGCUCAGGGUGCAGCUGGCCAAGAAGGAGGAGGAGCUGCAGGCUAUACAGGCCAGGGGAGACGAGGAGGUGACCCAGAAGAACAACGCCCUGAAGCAGGUACGGGAGCUACAGGCCCAGUUGGCAGAGCUGCAAGAAGACCUGGAAUCAGAGAAGGUCUCUAGGAACAAGGCUGAGAAGCUCAAGAGAGAUCUGAGUGAGGAACUGGAGGCCUUAAAGACUGAGCUGGAGGACACCCUGGACACCACCGCAGCCCAGCAGGAGCUCAGGACCAAGCGUGAGCAGGAGGUGACGGAGCUGAAGAAGGCCAUCGAUGAGGAGACCAAGAACCACGAGGCUCAGAUCCAGGAGAUGAGACAGAGACACUCCACAGCCCUGGAGGAGCUGUCUGAGCAGCUAGAGCAGGCCAAAAGGUUCAAGGUCAACCUGGAGAAGAACAAGCAGAGCACAGAGAGUGCCAACAAGGAGCUGGUCAGUGAAGUAAAGGGGCUGCAACAGGCCAAGACGGAGUCAGAACACAAGAAGAAGAAGCUGGAGGCCCAGCUCCAGGAGUUCAUGGCCCGGGUCACAGAGGGAGAGAAGGGCAAGGGAGAGCUGGCCGACCGCUCCCUCAAGCUACAGACGGAGCUGGACAGUGUGUCUGCUCUGCUGGAAGAUGCAGAGAGGAAGGGAAUCAAGCUGGUUAAAGACACCGCUGUCCUGGAGAGCGCUUUGCAGGACACACAGGAGCUUCUCCAGGAAGAGACGCGUCAGAAGCUGAACAUGAGCAGUCGUAUCCGCCAGCUGGAGGAGGAGAAGAGCACCCUGCAGGAGCAGCAGGAGGAGGACGAGGUGGCGCGCAGAAACCUGGAGAAACAGCUGUGCACACUGCAGGCCCAGCUGGUUGAGACCAAGAAGAAGCUGGAGGAUGACGUGGGGAUGGUGGAGGGUCUGGAGGAAGUGAAGAGGAAGCUGCAGAAGGACAUGGAGCUGGCCACCCUGAGGCUGGAGGAGAAGGGCAUCGCCUUUGAGAAGAUGGAGAAGACCAAGACCCGCUUGCAGCAGGAGCUGGACGACCUCAUGGUGGAUCUGGAUCACCAGAGAACCAUCGUCUCCAACCUGGAGAAGAAGCAGAAGAAGUUUGACCAGCUGCUGGCUGAGGAGAAGAACAUCUCUGCACGCUAUGCUGAGGAGAAGGACAGGGCUGAGGCAGAAGCCAGGGAGAAGGAGACCAAGUCCCUGUCUCUGGCCCGGGCUCUGGAGGAGGCUCUGGAGGCCAAGGAGGAGUUUGAGAGACUCAACAAGCAGCUGAGGAGUGAGAUGGAGGACCUGAUGAGCUCCAAGGACGACGUGGGCAAGAACGUCCAUGAGUUGGAGAAGUCCAAGAGGACUCUGGAUCAGCAGCUGGAGGAGAUGAGGACUCAGCUGGAGGAGCUGGAGGACGAGCUGCAGGCCACGGAGGACGCCAAGCUGCGUCUGGAGGUCAACAUGCAGGCCAUGAAGGCCCAGUACGAGAGAGACCUGGCAGGGCGAGACGACCAGAACGACGAGAAGAAAAGGGCACUUGUCAAACAGGUGCGUGAGAUGGAGGCAGAGCUUGAGGAUGAGCGGAAGCAGAGAGCUCUAGCCGUGGCUGCUAAGAAGAAGCUGGAGAUGGACCUGAUGGACAUGGUUGGACAGAUAGAGGGCGCCAACAAGGCCCGUGACGAAGCCAUCAAGCAGCUACGCAAAUUGCAGUCCCAGAUGAAAGACUACCAGAGGGAGUUGGAGGACGCCCGGGCCUCUCGGGAUGAGAUAUUCUCCCAAUCCAAGGAGAAUGAGAAGAAGCUGAAGAGCCUGGAGGCCGAGGUUCUCCAGCUGCAUGAGGACCUGGCGGCAUCAGAGAGGGCGCGGCGCCAUGCAGAGCAGGAACGGGAUGAGCUAGCGGACGAGAUCUCCAACAGCACCUCGGGCAAGUCUGCCUUGAUGGAUGAGAAAAGGAGGCUGGAGGCUCGCAUUGCUCAGCUGGAGGAGGAACUAGAGGAGGAACAGGGCAACAUGGAGCUGCUCAAUGACCGCUUCCGCAAGACAACCAUGCAGGUGGACACCCUGACCCUGGAGCUUGUGGCAGAGCGCAGCAUGGCCCAGAAAAGUGAGAAUGCGCGCCAGCAGCUGGAGAGGCAGAACAAGGACUUGCGGGCCAAGCUGGGCGAGCUGGAGGGCUCCGUGAAGAGCCGGUUCAAGGCCUCCAUCAACGCCCUGGAGGCCAAGAUACUGCAGCUGGAGGAGCAGCUGGAGCAGGAGGCAAAGGAGCGAGCAGCGGCCAAUAAGCUUGUGAGACGGACAGAGAAGAAGCUGAAGGAGGUGUGCAUGCAGGUGGAGGAUGAGCGCCGCCAUUCCGACCAGUACAAGGAACAGAUGGAGAAGGCCAACUCUCGCAUGAAGCAGCUGAAGAGGCAGCUUGAGGAGGCUGAGGAGGAGGCCACACGUGCCAACGCCUACCGCAGGAAGCUGCAGAGGGAGCUGGACGAUGCCACUGAGAGCAGCGAGGGUCUCAGCCGUGAGGUCAACACACUCAAGAGCCGCCUCAGGCGUGGAGGCCCCAUCAGUUUCUCCUCCAGCCGCUCGGGAAGGCGUCAGCUGCAGGUGGAGGGAACAUCACUCGACCUCCUAUCCGACGAUGAGGUGGAAAACAAGACCACGGACGCCAAUGCCAACGAGACGCCAGCAGCUCCCCAACCAGAGUAGACGCGCUCCCUCCAGCCCACUCGCAGCAUGGCCUCGGCCCCCACAAACCUUACCCCUGUUCUCCUAACCCCAGACACCAGCAGUGGACCCCACUACUCUGCCUUACCCCUCUAUGGCAAGCUGCAGGGCCAAGCAAAUCCAUCAUCUCCUCCAUAUGAAUAUACCGCACAUCAAGCCUUGGAUUCGUUUUUAACAUCAAUUGCAGAUAAAAGUGCAUUUAAAUUGCAUAUUUGUCUGAGUGUGUAUAGGCACUCGAAAACAAAUAGCAGGAGUUUACCAUAAUUAUGUUAAGCUACUUCCCUGGAACAGCCAUUAGAAUCAAACAGCCCUCUAGCUAGAAUUAACCACUGUCAUUUCAGCUGGUUUACUGGCACACAGGUGAUCGACUGCACACAAGUCGGGAAAAACAUGUGUCUUUCAUGAUUGUACAGUAUUGGACCAGGAUAUGUAAAACAAAGCACAGCAUAAGCGAGGGAAUUAUUUUUAAAUGGUAGCCUAAAUGACGAUCCCAUCGAAUGUUUUUCAUCAAAACCACCACUGUCAUAGAGAUACUGCAAUCCACUUAGUUUAGUAUAAAAAUAACUAUGUGAAUAACUCUUUAGUAGCAGGUUUGUAGUAAAUUAGAUUGUACCACGCCAUGUUGCCUCAGCAUUCCCCCUGUAUAUAUGACCAGCAAAAGACCCUGUUAACUUUAUCAAUAUAACCUUGUCCAAUAACCCACCAUUUUAUAUUUGACAUAUCAAUCUACUUUAAGUGGUGUACGAUAAUGUGUGGAAUUAGGUUUGUCAGACUUGGAGCAAAGGCCCUUUUUUUAGAAAGACAGCCCAAAUGUGUGCUUGACAUACUAUAAUAUUGCUAUGUAUAAUUCUGGCUAUUCAGUUAUGUUUUCUGUACCAUGUACAAAAUUACUUAACUCAAAAAGGUCUCUUUGACAUCUCGUGUCACCUUAAUUUCAAUGCAUUACAAAUGGCUGAAUAAUAUUAGCAUGAUUUACAGAAGGGUAAUUCAUGUUUUAUUGAGUGUUAGAGCGUUGGUUUUAAUUCAGUGGUUCAGGGAAGAGCAAUCGAUCAAUUUGAAUAUGCACACUUGAUUAUGCCUUGAUUAUUAAAUGUUAAACAUAAAUGACCAUUUUGUAAAUGACUAAUUACAUAUUUGAGGCCUUCAUUAUUAUUUUAAGCCAUAACAAAUUGGGGGAAAAAAGGUUUAUCUGUUUCUCUUGAAAGACACUUCUCAAUAAAGACAUGAGGGGAAAAAAGUGUAUAGUGUUUGAACCAGUUUCAUAGCUUUAGUGUCAUAUUAUACCAUAAGCACCUCUCCCAUCGUGUUGGUGUGAACCAGUGUUAUAACAGAGUGAUUUAUGGAGCCUUCUGUCUGCCAGGCAGAAAGUAGGAUUUUAUUGGGUUCAAAGCUUUAACAUCCUGAAGGUUGUUAUUAUUAGUGGACUGGCUGUUGACGACCAGGUAUUCAUCCUCUCCUUUUAUUUCUUGUAUUUCUAGACUUUUUUGUUGUAGUUGUUAUUAUUAGUGGACUGGCUGUUGACGACCAGGUAUUCAUCCUCUCCUUUUAUUUCUUGUAUUUCUAGACUUUUUUGUUGUUGUUGUUGUUGUAAAAGACCAAUAAACAUAUUCAUUAUAGA
RNA transcript from Oncorhynchus masou masou (cherry salmon), 7724 nucleotides. It is a transcript of the gene named myosin-10-like, with no coding region annotated. The record is from RefSeq and is a predicted model, not a curated record. The transcript is spliced from 41 exons. NCBI's taxonomy places the organism in Eukaryota, Metazoa, Chordata, Actinopteri, Salmoniformes, Salmonidae.